Molecule: non-coding RNA, 2186 nt
Organism: Pelodiscus sinensis (Chinese soft-shelled turtle)
Lineage: Eukaryota; Metazoa; Chordata; Testudines; Trionychidae
Source: RefSeq, a predicted model, not a curated record
CUCAGUACUCUAGUCACAAUGACAGCAUCCAACAUAAUACUAUGUCCCUGCAAUAAUCACUUUCCUUCUCCCCUGAAUCUCCUCCCUAUUUGUUGUGUGGGGUUGUCAGAGUCCAGAGUUUGGGCAGGUCUCUCUCCAGCUCCUAUAGAAAGUGCUACUUGGUCAGCUCCGUGAGCUGUACCUCUUAAUCCUUUGGUAGCUUCAUUGAUUGCUGGGUAGGGAGGCCCUCACUGGAUUGCCUGAGAUUUGCUGAUUCUUUCUGCAGCUUCUGCAAAAGCCAUCCUGAGUCUGUAUUCUGUCUCCAUGCCACUUCUUGUUUGAGAAAGCUGCUUCUGCAAACAUCCCCUCUCCCCGCCGGCCCCACGCUGUGCAAAGUCUUCAGGGAUCAGUGUCUUAUAGCACCCAGAGUAGAGCCCUUAUGGGCUUGGACCCCACCAAAAGAUGGAGUGCCUUUCCUUCCCAAAAGGAGACUGUGGCAGCUAUAGCAGAGGACCAGCUGGGUUAGUUGCUGGCACCUCCAAGAGAGACUUGGCAAGCAGCUCCCUUGAGACUGGAGAAAGAGAAGAAGAGAUACUUGGAUGACUGCUCCUUGAGGAUCCCAACCAUGAGUGAGAUUGAAACCUAUUUUUACAUUCUGAGAAAAACAACUUCAGCAUAACUUUGCAGAUCAGUGACAAAAGUAAAACUGCUAUCCAAAACUGUAUGGUAAAACCCCAGUCUUGCGUUAUAUUCCUGAAACCUUGUCAGCCUUCAACUUCUGCAACCAGCCAUGAGAAAGUGAAGAGGAACACAACCAUCACCCAUCUCUACACCACCAAUAAGUCAACAGUCCUAUGGAAAAAAUGCAAGCUCCCCCAGCAAUUCUACAUCUAUUUAUCAUAUUCACAAUGCUGUUGCCAACUUGAUUGACAGUAAAUUUGGAGGCAGCCUGUAAUUUAUACUGUAGAGUAUUAUUUUACUCUCUAGAGCAUGAUUGCCAAAUAGUUUUCUUCUUUCUGAACUGUAUUAACAUGAAUACAUUUUGGCAAACAAUAGACAAUAGCAAGCGUAUCAGAACAGCCUACUCUAACAUACAUCAAGGCUCUUCACAGCCUCAUUAGUACAUCCAGGAUGAUUUGUGUAUCUGAAUGUCUUACCUUGUAUUUCUAUCUAGCCAGGCUGACUACAGGCUUUGUUGGGCCCCUGGGCAACGUGUGUAUAUUGUGUGGAAGGGAGCAGCCAGAUCUCAGUGUUGCCCACAGCAUAGUGCGCAGAGCUCCUGCAGCAAUUUAAAGGGCCUGGAGCCAUAAACUCUUUUAAAUUGUCAGGCUACAGGACAACUGCCCCCUUUACCUCCUCCCCACCCCCGCCAUCAUCAGUCCUGGGAUGCUAAACAACCACACAGAUAUAACUAAAUAAGCCAUACCAAUUAGUUAAAUUCAUCAUUCUUGAGAUUUUUUAUGAACUAGGCCGAAAAAAAUUAUCCAAGCUGACACGGAAAUCCCUAUGAUUUUUAAGGGAAAAUAAUGGUUCUGGAUUAAUCAGUGUUUGGCAGUCACUGUCCUUCUACUCAUAUCCUCCAGAGCUCAUACCACCACUGGCUUUUGUAGUUCCAACAUCUAGCAGCAAGUUUAUAUUUCAAUUACACCUCAGCAGGCUUUGGUUGCAUCCCUGUCAAUCACCAUCAGAGCAGCAAUAUUCAAAGCAAGUGGAAUAAAAACUGGUUAUCAGGAGUUGGGAGUACCAAUGCCAACUAAGGUAGAAUCUGAUUGCCAAAGGCUGGGAAGUUAGGAGAAUAAAGCACAACUGGUGGGGAAAUGGAAGGAGAAUAUUUGUUUUUUUUAAAUUUCUUAUUUCUGUAACCUCUGUUGCCGCCUGCAGAAAAACAUAGAAACUGUGUUAAACAAACAAACAGAAAUUUGUGACUGCCAUGUGCUCUGAGAUAGCCUCGCUCCCCAAUUAAAGGCUGUGAAAGCUGAGUUAUAAGUCUAGAUGGCAGAUGCAACUCUACCAAAGCACAGCUGAACUUCUGAAAAUCAAGCCACAUAAUCCCCAAUUCACUUAAGUAUUUAAGCAUAUGGCUAUGCUUUGGGAAUGACAGAGUAUAUUGUAGGACCUUUCAUCUUAAUGUAUGCAGUAAUCUCCUACAUAUUUGAGAGAAUUUGUCUAUCUGUCUGUCCGUUUGACCAAGAACUCCUCCUAAAUGA